Long non-coding RNA from Scatophagus argus, 731 nucleotides. RefSeq lists it as uncharacterized. The record is from RefSeq and is a predicted model, not a curated record. NCBI's taxonomy places the organism in Eukaryota, Metazoa, Chordata, Actinopteri, Scatophagidae. The transcript has 3 exons.
UACACGUAUGACAGAAAUUUAGCCCUGUUGCUCUGUUGUUUCAGUUGGUUCAGCUGUGUAUGAAAACAGAAACUGGUGGCAUGGAUUCAACUGCCAAUCCCUUUGACAGUGAAAUAAAUCAGCGUUCCCAUGACCCUCUGCCAGUGUACACACCUCAAAAUUCAGUGACGCAGGACCCAGGGUCCAUCCCAGUCAUUACUGGAGACAUGCCUAAGAAGAACAGGACAGGGUUCUAUGCUGUGAACCCCUGAGAUUCUCUGGAUGAAAAUGCACCAUCAUGCUACAGACCUGUCAGAGCUCGACACUCCCACUGAACCAGAUCUAUGCUGGUCCUUUGAGCCAGACUGCAGUGAGCAGAGGCAGAGUGAAGAAACAUGAACCCCAUCAGCAGUGGAAAACAGCGUGGAUAGUGUACAGCAUGGAUUAACUAAUAUCAACAGAUGCUAUUUAUUACACAGUUGUUUUCAGUGGCAACAUAAGUUAAUAUAUAUGUCAAUAUAGACUAUGAUAACAUUAUUUAUCUACAUAGCUAUUGUUUAAUGCAAACCAGUGAUAAUUUGCUGAGCUUUUUCUUGAAUAAUGUCUAGUAAUGUAUGCUUUUAGGAACACUAAUCUAAGAUAUAAAAAAAAUAGUAAAGUAAUUCUGUCUAUAAUCUGAUUAAAGGGAUAUGGUCUUGUUUAUGCAUGUGUGGUCUUUUGUGUAAUUCUUGUGUAUUUCUGCCUUUCAUACA